GACAGAGGUUGCAAACGUUGUUCGGAAUCACUGGGCAUAAAGCGCACGUAGGCGGUCUGUUAAGUCAGGUGUGAAAGCCCCCGGCUCAACCGGGGAACAGCAUUUGAUACUGGCGGACUCGAGGAUGGUAGGGGUGAGUGGAACUUCAGGUGGAGCGGUGAAAUGCGUAGAUAUCUGAAGGAACACCGGUGGCGAAAGCGGCUCACUGGACCAUCACUGACGCUGAGGUGCGAAAGCUAGGGUAGCAAACGGG
RNAcentral lists this ribosomal RNA (253 nucleotides) under uncultured bacterium. Its description in RNAcentral is "partial 16S ribosomal RNA". It matches the Rfam family "Bacterial small subunit ribosomal RNA", at positions 524 to 776 of the family's 1533-position model. The record is from RNAcentral.